AGACUGAGAUCCGGGGGUUUAUGGUAGAUAUUGUGAAUUAACAUGUCAAUAUCCAGGAUUUGGAAAGCAGUGUCAAAUGAAAUGUGAAUGUGAAGAACAGAACUGUAACCCGAUUAAGGGAUGCAUAUUAGAUUCGUCAUCACCUGCUGCAGGUCCGUUAGCGAAAACAACUACAGAUUAUCCACUGAAUGAAGUGAAUGAAAAUUUUAAUACACUAACUGCAGAGAUUAAAUCUUGCAUUAGAACAGAGAAUGACCCCCCUAUAAAGAGAAACACAGCAACAUUGCAAUACGCCAUCAUUGGACUCGGAUGUGUCUGUUGUGUAUUUCUGAUCUUCUACAUAGGACUGCGUAUUGUUUUGUACAGAUACAAACCGAAAGUAUGGAACAGACAAGCACAUGAAAUGCAAAUGGAUGUUUAAACUGGAAGGGAAAAAUUCUUUAUGAACUUAUGGACGGAAAUUCAAAUACGGAAAUUAUUUCAAAUUCGUCAUCACCUGCUGCAGGUCCGUUAGCGAAAACAACUACAGCUUAUCCACUGAAUGCAGUGAAUGAAAAUUUUAGUAAGAUUUGGUCAAUGAUAACUGUGAGUAGUUUUCUCCGUUUAGAUACACUAGCUGCAGAGAUUAACUCUUGUAGUAGAAUAGAAAAUAGAAAAUGCCCCCUCCCCCCCUCUGUAAAGAGAAACACAGCAACUUUGCAUUAUGCCAUCAUUGGACUCAGAUUUGUCUGUUGUGUAUUUCUGAUCUUCUACAUAGGACUGCGUAUUGUUUUGUACAGAUAAAAUCCAAAAGUAUGGAACAGACAAGGACAUGAAAGGCAAAUGCCUGUUUAAACUGGAAGGGGAAAAUUCUUUAGGAAUUUAUGGACGGAAAUUCAAAUACGGAGAUUAUUUUAAGUACAUAAAUAUAUUCACGAUAUACAUGUAGGAUGCAUUUCUGCCAUGUUUCGGAAAACGAAAAUCAUUAUAUCGAACGCUACAUGGACUUUGUAAACACAUGUUUUCUGAAUUAGAAUUAAUAUUACUGUUUUUCAUAUCAGUACUUAUUUGUUAAGUGUACGUACCAUGACGCAACUGAAGUGAGAUAUCCAAUUAAGCCCACUCAACAAGUCAGAUAAUAUGAUCUUAAACUUAAAUACAAACAACGUAAGUAAACUAAAAUCAUAUAUUAGAAAACGAACUCCAACACCAUCAAGUACAAUCGAUGUUAGACUUAUUUAAAAUUAAUCUUUAUUAUAUUCUAUGAUGUUAAUUGAUUGAUUUUUUUUACAACGCUUCGACAAUUUUUCACUCAUAUUGAGACGUUACCAGUUGUAGAUGAAAUACAACAAAUAUAGACCUAUGCUUAGCGCUCAGGACCGCACCAGUGAGCAUUCUUUAUCGUGCCAACCCCUUACCACUACACGAUAUCUCCGUUUGUUAAGGUCAUAUUCGAAAGACGAGGCCAAGGCACAGAAAAAUCCAUGAUUCUCACUUCUAAAUGUCGAAUCCCGUGGGGAUCCGGGUUACAAUAGGUACUCAGUACCCCUUUGCUUGUCGUAAGAGGCGACUAAAUGGGGCGGACCUUCGAAUGAGACCGCAAAAACCGAGGUCCCGUGUCACAGCAGGUGUGGCACGAUAAAGAUUCCGCCCUGCUCAGUGGCCAUAAGCGCCGAGCAUAGGCCUAAAUUUUGCAGCCCUUCACCGGCAGUGGUGACGUCUCCAUAUGAGUGAAAUAUUCUUGAGAGGGACGUUAAACAAUAUUCAAUCAAUCAAUCACUCUAAAUGUCGAACGUUCGGAGAAGGAAUAAUCAUUGUCGAUGUUUACGUGUUAGUUUUGACGUGGCCAUGGCAUGAACGGGACUCCAACUCAGAACCACACUGAAGUACCGCGACCGGUCUUAUCAUGUCAAUAAAAUAUUUUUUCUAAGAUGACCUUGGAUAAGACCCAUUCACUUACAUCGAAAAUUGACAUCCGCGUCCCCAUCGGAAAGCCAAAUAGGUGGAAUGUAAUUCAAUAAUGGUACAGGUUGACGCCAGAUUCUAUUGAGCUGCAUUGUGUAUUCUGUUAUGAGUCAGAAAAACCCUUAAUAUAGUGCAAUAGAAUUUACUAACAAAAGGCAAUUAAACAAUUGAUAAUAUUUAUUUACAAUUGAUAAUUGAUAAGAAAUUGUAACAAUAACAAAAUACUAACUUAGGGCAGGUGAACAAUAAAUCCAAACACGCAAGAAUACUAAUCGUAGUUCCCAGUGAAAUAAAAUCCAAAAUGCAUAUAAAUUGUCUAAUCAGAGCCAUUUGUAUCAUAAGAAUUUCAGUGUAUAUAUAAUAGGAAGGAAUAUCCUAGUACAAUCUUAAAAGACAAUGAUGCAACCAUUACUUAAUACUAAAAAUAACAAGAUAAUCUAGAAUAAUCUACGUCACAGGUGUCAAUGAAAUAAACAUGACUUUCUAGAACUAUGCAAGGUGAAGAUAACGAACAGUGAUCAAUAUCACAACUCCUACAAGUAAUACAAAAUAGAUAGUUGGGCAAACACGGACACCUGGACACACCAGAGGUGGGAUCGGGUGUCUAGGAGGAGUAAGCAUCCCCUGGUGACCGGUCACACCCGCCGUGAGCCCUAUAUCCUGAUCAGGUAAACGGAAUUAUCCGCAGUCAAAAUCAGUGUGCCAAGAACGGCUUAACAAUCGGUAUGAAAAACGUCAGACAGCAUUUGACCCAAUGCGAGGUUGUAUUGACGAACUAGAUCGUUAUAACGACCAUAGAAUUUGCGAACUUCAAUCGAGACUGUUGAAACCCCUGUCCAUCAACUUGUUUGUCAGUAAUUUACCUCGAUUUGAAAACUGACUAUACGCAGAACAAGUUCUUGCAUAUAUAAUCAGUUGAGAUAUAUAAACAUAAUAUGCAGGUGAUACUGGAAUAUUGCUAUAUAAAUAUGGGAAGUUGACGAUGGAGAAGCUGAAAUCAUCCCGUUUGUCAUACAGUUGAGUUGUCAUAUUAAUAAAGUGCAAAUAGUAAUACAUGAUGUAUACACAACAUGUCACAUACUGCAUAACGUCACUGAUGAAGAAUCCUUGAAAUUUCUUAUUUGAAUAUGGACAUGAUGAUUAUGUACAUAUGGAUACCUACAUUUCCAAAUUGUAUAGAGCAGUUUUGAUACAUUCCUAAAAAAAAUAAGUUUUAGAGGCUAUUUGUACGUAUGUUUUAUAAAGAUGAAAUAGUAGUAGGUCAUAAUGAAUACGAUUGGUGAGUAAACAUAAUAACCAAUUCUGAAAGUAAAAAGAAUUAUACAAUUAAGAUAUGUUUGAGUAACUAAAGAGUUAUGUUAUAAAAGGAAAUGUUUUAAAUUAUCGUUACAAGACAAUAAAUAUUGGAUUGAAUUCUAGAAUCUAAACCUUGAGAACCAGAGACAUCCAGAGAGAGAGAGAGAGAGAGAGAGAGAGAGAGAGAGAGAGAGAUUGUGAAGUAUUAUAAUAUUAUAAUGCAAGGAUUCUGUGCAAUAAUAAUAAUUGGUCGAAAGACUGAUGCGAACAAACCCCUUUUAAAACGUGUUUUGCUUUCUGUUCUAAGUUUUGAUUCAAAUGUGAAAAUGAUAAAACAUUUAUUCCUUUUCAACAAAUACACUAACGUGGUGGAAGUAUGGAAUCCAAUGGUACGUAUAAUUGAGAAUCAUUCAAAUGUUCUUUAGUAUUCACCAUGAUGUUUGAAGAUUUUGAAGCAAUUAAUUAUGGUGUCAUUAUGUCCUGCCUCGGCUGAAAACCUAUGAACGGUAAGUUAAGAUAUGCAACAGUGCUCGCACGCGCGUGUGUGUGUGUCAUUGAGAGUUGAAUUACGUAGUUAUUGCAAAUAUAAAUGUAUUUUAUGUCUAUAAUGCUUUCUAUUUAUUUCGGAAGAUAUUUAACAAUGUAUAAUGCCAAUAUGUUGAUAUUUCACAUGUUCAUUUUUCAGUCUUCUAUGUAAUUCCUUCUACCUGCCAUUUUACUAGUCUUCUCGAACGUUAAUUGUUUUCUGCAAUACCAUUGGCCAAGAGAAUUUAUGCUGGCUUAUCAGAUUUUAUUGAUUUGCCAGUCCUAUAUCAAGCGUGGUAUGAGGGAGCUAAAUAAAUCUCAAAUUUUAAAACUCAUGACCAAUCACAAACGAUUUAAUUUUACAUUUCAAGGUAUGAUUAUUUUAUCAUUUUCUUUUUCUAAAAAUAAAUUUAGACGACUUCUAUAAGCAUGCAUUGAGUCUACUAACAUUUAUUGUUUAUAGCUACGUUUUACAAUUCUUCAAAUACACAUGUAAAUAAUCAGUAUUUAUAAGAUAAAUCAACUUCAAUUGGAAUGGAAAGCUUGAUUGUCGAUUCUGGUAAGGUAAUUGAGCCUAUAAUUUAUAGUAUUUGCAAACGAACUUAAAUAUCAAUGGGCGAAAGGUCAUGUUUCAGCUUUCUUAAGAUAGUUUUCAGAGAAUACUGGACCUUCCACGUAAUAAAUAUUGUAACAAGUGGAACCUUAUUGUGAUGCUUCAUCUUCACUACAUCAGGAUUAGAAUAGCAUUGUUAGUUAGUAGAAUUUUAGAUUUUGAAGAAAACAUAUUCACUAAAAUGUGACCUGUUAAGACCAUGUCUCGGGAAGUAUUGCUCUACUUUUCAUUGAAAAUUUUACCGUACUAGGAAUGGAAUUGCAAAAAGUUUCAUUUUUAAACAUAUCUAUCAGAUAUACAUUUAACAUGAUUUUCUGUUUCAUAUAUGAAGUUUAUUCUAUUUCCUAUCUCUUUACUUGAUUUCUUUGAUGUCGCAAUUAUGAAAUGAGUAAGUAAGUUAAUUUAUGUUGUCAUGUGCACGUAUUGCUAUCCGCAUGUCAUGUGUGUCAAAACGUUCAGUGUAAUAUGUGACAGUCGCUUUAUAUGUGUUGUACACCAUGAAAAAUACCAUUGCAUUCGUUUGGAAGUAGAGAACUGGACCACUUAGUAGGGCAUUCUUCAGAAUGGAAAAAUAAUUUAACAUACAACUUAUAUUUUCUGUCUUUUUUAAUAUAUUUGGAGUGACAUAAAAACAAUUUAUUGACAAUCGAUUGGUAUUUGAAAAUUUGAAAAAAGGACAAUUUCAGAACAGGUCGGGUGAAAAUAGAGGAAAUAGUCAUGCUUCGAUACACUAUCAUACAAAAAAAUAAGAAAACAUACAAAUAUGAAGCAGUUAUGGAAGACUUUGUGGUGUAUUUCUUUUCCAAUUCGCGGAGAUAUAUCGACUUAACAUAUGAAUGAAAAUGCACAUUGUUGAUAGAUAAAAGGUUAUCCAUAGUUGAAGCUCACAGGAAGAUAUUUCUUGUCAUUUAUAAGCUUUUGAAUGAGUUCUGCAUUGUAGAAAUAUCAAUACAGUUCAACUGAUAAAUCAACACAAGUAAUGCCUGUGGGUGUUUCCAAAGACCAAUGGAAGACCUAAUCUCCAAACCCAGAGAGUGGUAAUUGGGUACCAGCAAUCUGAAAACAGGAUAUCUAUACUUAUUGAAAGGACCUACAUGCUGUAGUGGUUUUGCUGGAUAUGUUUGGAACCAGACAGUUCACAACUGUACAAGCUGUAUGUCCG
Molecule: RNA transcript, 5540 nt
Organism: Ostrea edulis (European flat oyster)
Lineage: Eukaryota; Metazoa; Mollusca; Bivalvia; Ostreida; Ostreidae
Gene name: multiple epidermal growth factor-like domains protein 6
Exons: 8
Source: RefSeq, a predicted model, not a curated record